GUCUUUAAGGUUGGUGUAAUCCACGCAUACUCUUUAUUUGCCCUUCUCUUUCAUCACCAGCAUGACAUUGGCUAGCCAUGCUGAGUGCACCACUUCUUCAAUGAAUUCGGCCUUUAAUAGCUUGUUGAUCUCUGUCUUAAUAUCACUACUCGCUUGGUUAUGAAAUGUCACAUUUCCUAGAUCAUAGGUUUGGCAGAAAGAUCGACAUGUAGCUUGUAACGAGGUAUUGUUGGAUCAAUGUUGAGCAUGUUAGAGGGUGACCAUGCGAAAACGUCAUGAUUUUCCUUGAGGAAAGCCAUGGGUUCCUCUUUCUCAAUCAAGCUUCAUCGUGAGCCAAUCCUAGUCAUCUUAUUUGGUUGGUGGGGGUAAAAUAUGAUGUAUUAUGUGUCCUCUUCAGGUUUCCCUCAUCUGCCAGGGCAUUGUUGACCUUGACGCCAUCUUUUUGAUUUGUCUACUAUGAUUACUACUUGGUGGAGGUAUAAUCGUCUUUCUGCACUUCUACUGCUACUUCUGGGGCAACAAACUUCUUCUUCGUCUCCUUGAAAACUUGCAUAGUAUAUUACCAAGACAUGGCUUGGUCACCUUUAAUCUCCGACUACUCCUCUGGAUGUGAAAUCAAAUUUUCUAAUACUCGAUCGAGGUCACAGCUGCAAUCUUCACUAGCCUAGGUAGGCCCAAAAUCCCGUGGGGAGAUGGGUCGCUGACGAUCAUGAAGGUCUGCGAUAAGAUAAUAUGGAGGGCUAGUUACGUUAAGCGUCAUUAUGCCAAUGGUAGUUGAGGUAAGUCUAUUGAAUCAAGUGAAGACCUCUACAUUCCAAGCCUAUCUUCUGGAUGACUAACAAUUGUAAAAUAUUGAAUGAGUUGUUGUUGUCCACCAUAAUUUUGUCAAUGAUGGUGUGGGCCAGUUUAACAGAAAUCACCAAGGCAUCGUCAUGGGGAAAGUCUACUCCCUCAGCGUCCUGCUCAGUGAAGCCAAUGAUUGGUCCAGGUAUAGCAUCUAUGGCUUGAGCCUGAAAGAUUGAUCUCACUUGCUGGAUCUUUCUCUUCUCGGAACUGUUACGCUAGAAACAAUAAGGUUUUCCUUCUCAUUGUCUUAUAAAUGGUCACGUGACUAAUGGGAGGAUAAGGGCAAAGCUCUUAUGAAUGCAAUUCCUCUCUCUUUUAUCAUCCUGCAUAAAAUUUAAAUGAUAGAAAUGUACUACAUAAUCCAGUUGCACAUGUAACAACUCUUAAUAUGCCAACAGACAAAUGACAUAAUAAUUAGAGCAAGCGAUCAAUGACAAUCAAAACAUUUUCCAAAUUCACUUGACUAGCAAUUAUAGAAUUUUAAUAUGAUUUUUUCCAUCUCAUUAAUAUAGCCACAAAACACAAAGAACAUGUGUUGAUGCACAAAACCGGAUGUCUUGGUACAACGUAAAUCCGACCGUGAAUCUGCAAGUAAUGUAAAUAACACAAGAUGUAUCGUGGUUCACCCCAAGGUUUGGGCUACGUCCACACUGAUUGUAUUGUAUUUCUCUGUUGAAGAGGGAGAGAGAGAGCUUAGAGCUUAGGGGGUGUGAGGAAGCUUGGGAAUGGCCUCUCCCAAUUGUGAGGAUGAGGAGUCCUUUUAUAGAAUAAGGACUCCUCACUUAUUACAUAUUUGCCCCUUCCCUUAUUGCAUAAUUACAUUUGAGUCCCCUGAGUAUUUAUACGAGGUCUAAAUACGGAGGCCCUAAAUAUGGUAUAAACAGUAGUCCCCCAAGUCUUCAGUCAAGAGAGUCUUUUGGAUGGAGACUUGAAAUUCAGUCCAUGUGUGGGCCGAAGUAACUAGAUACUGUCUUGAACUGAUGCUCGAUAUAAGGCAGUGCUUAAUCUGAAAUGACGCUCAACUAGAAGUAGCACACGCUGCUCGGCUG
This 1895-nucleotide long non-coding RNA is filed under the name Malus domestica (apple). RNAcentral's name for it is "long non-coding RNA (MDOM_LNC021311)". The record is from RNAcentral. Lineage: Eukaryota; Viridiplantae; Streptophyta; Magnoliopsida; Rosales; Rosaceae.